Molecule: ribosomal RNA, 746 nt
Filed under: uncultured Parvimonas sp.
Lineage: Bacteria; Bacillati; Bacillota; Tissierellia; Tissierellales; Peptoniphilaceae
Description: bacterial SSU rRNA
Rfam family: Bacterial small subunit ribosomal RNA
Source: RNAcentral
GACGAACGCUGGCGGCGUGCUUAACACAUGCAAGUCGAACGUGAUUUUUAUGGAAAUUCUUUCGGGAAUGGAAAUGAAAUGAAAGUGGCGAACGGGUGAGUAACACGUGAGCAACCUACCUUACACAGGGGGAUAGCCGUUGGAAACGACGAUUAAUACCGCAUGAGACCACAGAAUCGCAUGAUAUAGGGGUCAAAGAUUUAUCGGUGUAAGAAGGGCUCGCGUCUGAUUAGCUAGUUGGAAGGGUAAAGGCCUACCAAGGCGACGAUCAGUAGCCGGUCUGAGAGGAUGAACGGCCACAUUGGAACUGAGACACGGUCCAAACUCCUACGGGAGGCAGCAGUGGGGAAUAUUGCACAAUGGGGGGAGCCCUGAUGCAGCGACGCCGCGUGAGCGAAGAAGGUUUUCGAAUCGUAAAGCUCUGUCCUAUGAGAAGAUAAUGACGGUAUCAUAGGAGGAAGCCCCGGCUAAAUACGUGCCAGCAGCCGCGGUAAUACGUAUGGGGCGAGCGUUGUCCGGAAUUAUUGGGCGUAAAGGGUACGUAGGCGGUUUUUUAAGUCAGGUGUGAAAGCGUGAGGCUUAACCUCAUUAAGCACUUGAAACUGGAAGACUUGAGUGAAGGAGAGGAAAGUGGAAUUCCUAGUGUAGCGGUGAAAUGCGUAGAUAUUAGGAGGAAUACCGGUGGCGAAGGCGACUUUCUGGACUUUUACUGACGCUCAGGUACGAAAGCGUGGGGAGCAAACAGG